UGGGGAAUAUUGGACAAUGGGGGCAACCCUGAUCCAGCAAUGCCGCGUGUGUGAAGAAGGCCUGCGGGUUGUAAAGCACUUUCGGUUGGGAGGAAAAGCCUCUGGCGAAUAACCAGGGGUCUUGACGUAACCAACAUAAGAAGCACCGGCUAACUCCGUGCCAGCAGCCGCGGUAAUACGGAGGGUGCGAGCGUUAAUCGGAAUUACUGGGCGUAAAGCGUGCGUAGGCGGAUGCUUGAGUCGGAUGUGAAAGCCCCGGGCUUAACCUGGGAAUUGCAUCCGAUACUGGGCGUCUAGAGUGUGGUAGAGGGGGGUAGAAUUCCUGGUGUAGCGGUGAAAUGCGUAGAUAUCAGGAGGAAUACCGGUGGCGAAGGCGACCCCCUGGACCAACACUGACGCUGAGGUACGAAAGCGUGGGUAGCAAACAGG
Molecule: ribosomal RNA, 429 nt
Filed under: uncultured Gammaproteobacteria bacterium
Lineage: Bacteria; Pseudomonadati; Pseudomonadota; Gammaproteobacteria
Description: bacterial SSU rRNA
Rfam family: Bacterial small subunit ribosomal RNA
Source: RNAcentral